UACGAAGGGGGCUAGCGUUGUUCGGAAUUACUGGGCGUAAAGCGCACGUAGGCGGACUGACAAGUCAGGGGUGAAAUCCCGGGGCUCAACCUCGGAACUGCCUUUGAUCCUGUCAGUCUAGAGUCCGGAAGAGGUGGGUGGAAUUCCUAGUGUAGAGGUGAAAUUCGCAGAUAUUAGGAAGAACACCGGUGGCGAAGGCGGCCCACUGGUCCGGAACUGACGCUGAUGUGCGAAAGCGUGGGGAGCAAACAGG
RNAcentral lists this ribosomal RNA (253 nucleotides) under uncultured bacterium. Its description in RNAcentral is "partial 16S ribosomal RNA". It matches the Rfam family "Bacterial small subunit ribosomal RNA", at positions 524 to 776 of the family's 1533-position model. The record is from RNAcentral.